This 253-nucleotide ribosomal RNA is filed under the name uncultured bacterium. RNAcentral describes it as "partial 16S ribosomal RNA". It matches the Rfam family "Bacterial small subunit ribosomal RNA", at positions 524 to 776 of the family's 1533-position model. The record is from RNAcentral.
UACGGAGGGUGCAAGCGUUAAUCGGAAUUACUGGGCGUAAAGCGUGCGCAGGCGGUUUUUUAAGUCCGUUGUGAAAUCCCCGAGCUCAACUUGGGAAUUGCAAUGGAUACUGGCAAGCUGGAGUAUGGUAGAGGAAGGUGGAAUUCCCGGUGUAGCAGUGAAAUGCGUAGAGAUCGGGAGGAACACCAGUGGCGAAGGCGGCCUUCUGGACCAAUACUGACGCUCAUGCACGAAAGCGUGGGGAGCAAACAGG